AAUGAUCUAAAUCUAAAAUCUUUCACAAGGUGCAACUUUCCAACGAUAAACAAGAACAGGAAGUGAAUCUUGAAUACAACCAGACUACAAGUUCCCUUCACUAUUAAAGUAUCUCCUUUGCUGUCACCCGAGUCUGACUUAACCUGCGUUAAACUUCCAUCAUUCUAGCCUAACAGUUAUUAAUAUCUUUAUUUCUUUUUGAACAAAACAUAUUUCCUAUCAGACUGGAAAUUUUGACACACUCAAAUGUCUGAAGUCCCAAGAGGAACACAGCUAAAAUAAAGGAAUUGAGCAGCAAAGCAACUCAGAAAAGCAGAAAUGAAAACAGAUGUUAAACCUCUUUAAAACAAAUUUUUACUAAUAGCCUCAACCAAAGCUAUUUCAGUCAACUACUAGAAAUAUUCUACCUAGUCAAAAGGUCUCAACAAGCUUCACAGGUCAUCAGCUCCUCAAGGGUGUGGGCUAAUUCUUUCCAAGGUUCUAUCUACCACCCAGCACCAUGCAUGUCAUGACCCUCCAUCAUGGGUGACUUUGCCCCCCAAGUGUCAUUUGGCAUUAUCUGGAGACAUUUUCAGUUGUCAUGACUGGGGUAAGACUGGAGGAAGGAGGUUUUGCUACCAGCAUGUACUGGGUGGAGGCCAGUGAUGCUGCCAGCCACCCUGCAGUGCACGGGACCGCCCCCACCACAAAGGGUUAUGCAACUAAAAUAUCAAAAGUGCUGAGGGUGAGAAAACUCUAGCUUAGGUCAAUGAUGCCACUGCCCUUCAUGUUCAAAUACAAAAUCACUGAUCAUGUGGCUUCACGUAGCCUUCUGGCAACAGCUUACGGGCCCUUUUAAACUGGAUACAUUAGGUCUGUUCCCUGGUAAGACUCUGGCCCCUGAGACUGUCACUUUUGAAAUUCCUGCAGUGUUAAAAGCCUGAGUCUCCUUUCACAAUUAGCCAGCAAUUCCAUAAGAAAAUAGCAAAAUAGCACUGAAGGUUUCUGAGCCUGUUUCCUCAAAGGAGAUGCGAGUUCUCACCUUCCAGGGCUGUUCUGAGGAGGGAAAGUGGCACAUCAAUGGGCCCACCUGCAGAGUGUCUAGGAUGAGCCUGGCGUGUGCUCGCUGACUGCCAAGGUGACGUAGUGCCAAGUACAAUGCCGGACACAUGGUAUCCAACACCCAAAUACUGAACUGAGCCCAAAAGUGUGGGAACUUUUUGUUCGAGAAAGGACAUAUCUUGUGAAUAUAAGAAUGAAAGGAUUAUAUGCUUCUCUCUAGGUAAGAUGUGGAAAUGAUUUUAUAAGUCCACACUUCAAUCCUUAAAAAAAAAAAAAAAAA
Molecule: long non-coding RNA, 1321 nt
Organism: Macaca mulatta (Rhesus monkey)
Lineage: Eukaryota; Metazoa; Chordata; Mammalia; Primates; Cercopithecidae
Source: RefSeq, a predicted model, not a curated record